Long non-coding RNA from Coregonus clupeaformis (lake whitefish), 788 nucleotides. RefSeq lists it as uncharacterized. Lineage: Eukaryota; Metazoa; Chordata; Actinopteri; Salmoniformes; Salmonidae. The transcript is spliced from 3 exons. The record is from RefSeq and is a predicted model, not a curated record.
CACGGUUGUGUUUUCAGUCAUCAUGGAACCACCGGUAGCUGUUGUGUGUGAUUUAAAUGCGCUACAGUCAAUUAUGAUUGCAUUUCAUAUCUUGGCUAAAAGACAAUGCAUUCGCAGACAUCGAAUGCUAGCCAUCUGACGAUAUCAGGUCAAUCAAAAAUUACAAUGUGCCCCGGAGUGGACAGAAUUGUACACUCGCAAACUCGAUCACAAACGAGGGCUGAGGGGCUUACGUUGCCAACUUCCCUUGCUUGGCUAAUUGUUUGGACCGACGGCAAAGAUGGGCGCGGGGAUUCCCCCAAGGGCAUUAGGCGAGGAAAGUCGUCAAACCCUGUCUGCAGAUGAAGAGGUCCCAAUGAAUGUUCCAAGAGAAUAAGAGUCCAUCCUUGUAUACCAUGGAUUACUGUAUAUGUUAGCACAUGUUGUGAACAAAAAUAAAGUUUAAAAGUCACACAAUGUAUAAACCUAUUACAACUGGAGCAGGCCAACCCUGCUGGGUGUGCAUGCUUCUGUUCCAGCCCAGCACUAACACACCUGAUUCAAUGUAUCAAAGCUAAUUAGUUAAUAAUCAAGUGUGCUAUUGCUGGGCUGGAACAGAAGUCUGCUCACCUAGUAGAUCAGGGAUCAGUGGAGUGAGGCUGGCCACCUAUGGUUUUGACUUUUUUUUUGUUCACCUGAAAUGAUGUUUUACUAAUAAUAGCCUACUUGUUACUAAAAUGUCUAACCUUUACAUAUACUUGUACUCCUGAGUGGCGCAGUGGUCUAAGGCACUGCAUCGCAGUGCUAAC